RNAcentral lists this ribosomal RNA (465 nucleotides) under uncultured bacterium. Its description in RNAcentral is "partial 16S ribosomal RNA". It matches the Rfam family "Bacterial small subunit ribosomal RNA", at positions 28 to 507 of the family's 1533-position model. The record is from RNAcentral.
GACGAACGCUGGCGGCGUGCUUAACACAUGCAAGUCGAACGGUAAGGCUCUAGCUUGCUGGGGUACACGAGUGGCGAACGGGUGAGUAACACGUGGGUGACCUGCCCUGCACUUCGGGAUAAGCCUGGGAAACUGGGUCUAAUACCGGAUAGGACCGCAUCGUGCGGGUGUGGGGGUAAGUUUUUUCGGUGUGGGAUGGGCCCGCGGCCUAUUAGCUUGUUGGUGGGGUAAUGGCCUACCAAGGCGGCGACGGGUAGCCGGCCUGAGAGGGUGGACGGCCACAUUGGGACUGAGACACGGCCCAGACUCCUACGGGAGGCAGCAGUGGGGAAUAUUGCACAAUGGGCGGAAGCCUGAUGCAGCGACGCCGCGUGGGGGAUGACGGCCUUCGGGUUGUAAACUCCUUUCACCAUCGACGAAGGGUUUCUGACGGUAGAUGGAGAAGAAGCACCGGCUAACUACGUG